CCGAACAAAGCUGUGAUCGUCCUUCAAUAUGCAGGGAAGAAAGCUCUUAUAGUCAAGACCUUGACGACGGAACCCGUGCUUAUGGUCAUGAAAACCGCUAAGAAGUCUCGUGUGAAGGCGUUUGUGAAGCUUGUUGGAAGCUGUUUUAAUUUUUCUUGGUUAAUUGUUUAG
Molecule: non-coding RNA, 171 nt
Organism: Vicia faba (fava bean)
Lineage: Eukaryota; Viridiplantae; Streptophyta; Magnoliopsida; Fabales; Fabaceae
Source: the annotation of a GenBank genome assembly